RNAcentral lists this ribosomal RNA (351 nucleotides) under uncultured bacterium. Its description in RNAcentral is "bacterial SSU rRNA". It matches the Rfam family "Bacterial small subunit ribosomal RNA", at positions 527 to 881 of the family's 1533-position model. The record is from RNAcentral.
GUAUGGUGCAAGCGUUAUCCGGAUUUACUGGGUGUAAAGGGAGCGCAGGCGGUGCGGCAAGUCUGAUGUGAAAGCCCGGGGCUCAACCCUGGUACUGCAUUGGAAACUGUCGUACUAGAGUGUCGGAGGGGUAAGCGGAAUUCCUAGUGUAGCGGUGAAAUGCGUAGAUAUUAGGAGGAACACCAGUGGCGAAGGCGGCUUACUGGACGAUAACUGACGUUGAGGCUCGAAAGCGUGGGGAGCAAACAGGAUUAGAUACCCUAGUAGUCCACGCCGUAAACGAUGAGAACUAGGUGUUGGGGGAAUAACUCAGUGCCGCAGUUAACGCAAUAAGUUCUCCGCCUGGGGAGU